CCUACGGGAGGCAGCAGUGGGGAAUAUUGGGCAAUGGGCGCAAGCCUGACCCAGCAACGCCGCGUGAAGGAAGAAGGCUUUCGGGUUGUAAACUUCUUUUCUCAGGGACGAAGCAAGUGACGGUACCUGAUGAAUAAGCCACGGCUAACUACGUGCCAGCAGCCGCGGUAAUACGUAGGUGGCAAGCUUUAUCCGGAUUUACUGGGUGUAAAGGGCGUGUGGGCGGGGACGCAAGUCAGAUGUGAAAACCACGGGCUCAACCUGUGGACUGCAUUUGAAACUGUGUUUCUUGAGUACUGGAGAGGCAGACGGAAUUCCUAGUGUAGCGGUGAAAUGCGUAGAUAUUAGGAGGAACCCCAGUGGCGAAGGCGGUCUGCUGGACAGUAACUGACGCUGAGGCGCGAAAGCGUGGGGAGCAAACAGGAUUAGAUACCCGGGUAGUC
This 443-nucleotide ribosomal RNA is filed under the name uncultured bacterium. Its description in RNAcentral is "partial 16S ribosomal RNA". It matches the Rfam family "Bacterial small subunit ribosomal RNA", at positions 338 to 795 of the family's 1533-position model. The record is from RNAcentral.